This 473-nucleotide ribosomal RNA is filed under the name uncultured bacterium. RNAcentral's name for it is "bacterial SSU rRNA". It matches the Rfam family "Bacterial small subunit ribosomal RNA", at positions 335 to 801 of the family's 1533-position model. The record is from RNAcentral.
ACUCCUACGGGAGGCAGCAGUAGGGAAUCUUCCACAAUGGGCGCAAGCCUGAUGGAGCAACACCGCGUGAGUGAAGAAGGGUUUCGGCUCGUAAGGCUCUGUUGUUAAAGAAGAACACGUAUGAGAGUAACUGUUCAUACGUUGACGGUAUUUAACCAGAAAGUCACGGCUAACUACGUGCCAGCAGCCGCGGUAAUACGUAGGUGGCAAGCGUUAUCCGGAUUUAUUGGGCGUAAAGAGAGUGCAGGCGGUUUUCUAAGUCUGAUGUGAAAGCCUUCGGCUUAACCGGAGAAGUGCAUCGGAAACUGGAUAACUUGAGUGCAGAAGAGGGUAGUGGAACUCCAUGUGUAGCGGUGGAAUGCGUAGAUAUAUGGAAGAACACCAGUGGCGAAGGCGGCUACCUGGUCUGCAACUGACGCUGAGACUCGAAAGCAUGGGUAGCGAACAGGAUUAGAUACCCUGGUAGGAUAGCG